UACGUAGGGUGCGAGCGUUAAUCGGAAUUACUGGGCGUAAAGCGUGCGCAGGCGGUUUUGUAAGCCAGAUGUGAAAUCCCCGGGCUUAACCUGGGAAUGGCAUUUGGGACUGCAAGGCUGGAGUGCGGCAGAGGAGACUGGAAUUCCUGGUGUAGCAGUGAAAUGCGUAGAUAUCAGGAGGAACACCGAUGGCGAAGGCAGGUCUCUGGGCUGACACUGACGCUCAUGCACGAAAGCGUGGGGAG
RNAcentral lists this ribosomal RNA (245 nucleotides) under uncultured Thauera sp. RNAcentral describes it as "partial 16S ribosomal RNA". It matches the Rfam family "Bacterial small subunit ribosomal RNA", at positions 524 to 768 of the family's 1533-position model. Lineage: Bacteria; Pseudomonadati; Pseudomonadota; Betaproteobacteria; Rhodocyclales; Zoogloeaceae. The record is from RNAcentral.